AACAAAUGAUAGAGAGUUAAAUGGGAAUGAACACUUCCAGUUGAACUCACUGACUAGGUUGAAUCUUUCAGGCCUUUCUUUACUUAUUUUGCAGGGUGUAUUUCCAGACUUGCCUACACUAGCAGUCCAGAAAUUGUAUGAGAUGAGUUUACUAUGUACCUGUAGCUGAUCUGUGUGGCUGCAAAAAGUUGGAGUUGCUCUGCGUGCUGUGCUAAGUAUGCAGUGACUAUUUGUCUUGGACAUCUGCGUGUCUGGUAGCCUGGCAGUUUCUUGCUCAAAGAUGAAGCUAUUUGAUGACUGGUAGAAGGAGCCGUCUAUCACCCAAACUGGUGAAUGUGGCAGGCUGGUAAACAAGCUAGAUGGCUAAGGAUUUCUUUUGCCUAGGAUAACUUCUAGGUAGCAGAAUGGCUACAGUGGAGUUUUAAAAGCUAUAUACCGGAGCCAGAUGAUCUUUGGCUGGUAUAAGGACUAGUGGGAGAAGAGUUUUUGCUGUAUAUCUGCAUCCCUUAUGCUCUUUCAUUCUCUCUUCUAUUGGGAAACUGAGGUAUACAAGGCAAAAUUAAUAAAGAACAGAAACAGAUGGACGUUUUUAUCUUGCUGAAAAUGAAGACACGCAAUUCUCUCUGCUGAUGAUGUAAUCCCAGACUGAUCUGCUGCCAGAAGUUCUGGAGUGUUGUUUAAAGUAUUUUCUUAGUACGUGGAGAAACCUUACCCAGGAAGCCAAGGAGCCAGUCGGGGUGUUCGUGCCAGGAAAACGCAGGCUGUGUGUGACCUAAAUGAUCGUCUACCAAGCUGGGAGACAGGUAUGGGAACUGCAAUGAUGCCUCAGCUCUGCUCUGGGAACCUACAAAGCAAAAGGAAACCAAAAACUUGACUAAACAAGUAUAGCAGUCCCCUCACUGUGAGAUGACCCAGAUCUAUCCUAAUGCUUGAAAGGCCUUGACUAUUGUGAGAAGAUGAAUGUUAACCUCCAUUUUUUUUUUUUAAAUGAGAGCAACAUGUCCAGCAUUAUGUUGGUUGUUGGAUAUAACUUUGAAUAUCUCGCACAUACCUCUGGUUAUGUUCUGUGAAGAAUGGUUG
Molecule: long non-coding RNA, 1080 nt
Organism: Gymnogyps californianus (California condor)
Lineage: Eukaryota; Metazoa; Chordata; Aves; Accipitriformes; Cathartidae
Exons: 4
Source: RefSeq, a predicted model, not a curated record